CCAUAUGCUCACUCGGCUGCUAUAUAAACCCGCUUUAGUCUUUGCACUUCGCUUUUGAGGAACUCUCAUAGUAUCCUAAAACAAAGGUCCAAAUUCGUAAUCUGCACGUCCAACAAUUUUCAAUAUGGUCACUCCCCUUCUUUCCCUUCCUAAGCUCCAAAGUCGAUCCACACCUUCAAAAUCGCCAAAUUUGCGCUUCAGCUGUGAGUCGAGAAUCAAAUCUCAGCCAGCCUCUCGUUUAUUUUCAUCCUACAAACAUGGAGUAGAUAUAUCUAUCAAUUCGGGACCGUUGAACUAUUUAAAGAGAAGUCGGAUGACAAACAGAAGCAGAGACGUAACAGAGAGAAAGAAGAGUCCUAGGAAGAAUUAUCGGGAGUGCCCCCGAGGGACUGGGGAAACAAGACAACCGCAAUGGUCAAGACCCUACAUUCGUCAAUUAGGGUUUUGGUAUAUGGCAACUUCUAUAAGGCACAUACUGAGGAGGGCAAAGGCGUUCUAUAAUGAGCUGUAUUGCGAUGCCUAUGAUGAUCCGAAAUUAUCGUCUGGAGAAGUGAUGAAUAUCGAUCCCUACUUCUCAGUUCCAGUAGUGGAAAAGCUGAUAUUGUGUUCAUGAUGAACUUGCAAAAAGAAGCAUAUUGUCAUUAUAUAUAUGUACAUUUAUGUGUUCGCGCAUACGUGCUUUGCGGAUGUUAAUUAGUUAUCAUUUAUGGAAUUUCUAGCGUCCUGUGGCUGAACUUUCACCCGCCCAAGUGCGAAAACCUUUUGCACUUGAAACACGAUGUUUCGUACAAGUGUGAAAAAAUUUCACAUAAAUUCCAUAAAAGAUUUUCGUACCGAAAGAAGAUGUUAUGUACAAAACUUUGGUUUUCUUGUGCGAAAGGUUUCCGCACAGGAAUAAUAAUAUUUCGUACUGAGUGGAGAAAAUCUUUGCCAUAUGAGAUGUUUGAAUCAAUGUACAAAAACAUUUCGCAAAACUGCUCUUUCAUUUAAGACAUAUGAUUUUUCUUGUACGAAAAAUUUACUUCUAGUGCAAAAAAAAAAAUUCGCAUAAGAAGAAGAACUAGCAUUUCACACUAGUACAAAAUAUUUUUCUUCAAAGUGCAACAAUCCGUACUUUGGAUGGCUGAAAGUUCAGCCACGGGAUAUGCUAGAGAUCCGUAUCAUUUAUAAUAUAAGUAGUUAUCAUUUAUUACUUA
Molecule: non-coding RNA, 1196 nt
Organism: Punica granatum (pomegranate)
Lineage: Eukaryota; Viridiplantae; Streptophyta; Magnoliopsida; Myrtales; Lythraceae
Source: RefSeq, a predicted model, not a curated record